This is a long non-coding RNA of Carya illinoinensis, 604 nucleotides long. RefSeq lists it as uncharacterized. The record is from RefSeq and is a predicted model, not a curated record. The transcript is spliced from 3 exons. Lineage: Eukaryota; Viridiplantae; Streptophyta; Magnoliopsida; Fagales; Juglandaceae.
UUUUUCUCUCCCCUCUCUCUUCCCCCAAUGCCAUUCUGCUUCUCUCCCUCGAUCUCUACUCUUCACGCCUCCACACUGCAAGCCGCUAUCGACCCACCAUCAUCAUCCACCUCCAUCAUUGCCGACCAACCCAACCAAUCUGCUCUCUCUCUGACUUCUCUCUCUCCACAAGAUCUCCCUCUCUCUUCACCCUCGAAGUCCUUUCUCUCUCGGGUUUCCUUUGCCACCGAGUCCUCAGCCACUGCACCACCUCUGGCUACAGGCAUAGCUAGCCCCCAAAGGUCCACAGCCCCUCCAGAAGCUCUCCCUCUCUCUCACCAUCGAUCUGCUCUCUCCCAAACGGAUCUCACUCAAGCGCCUCGUACAAGCCCUGCACAGCCUUCCUCCAUGGCGCAGCACCACCGCAAGUCAGCCCUCCAUGGCCACAAUGCCACCCCCAUGCCUCACCGCCUCCCCUUCAACAUCAUAAGCCAACCCAGAACAGACUGGUCUACUUCUAUCAGAAUCCAUCGAUCACCUUGUGAAAUUCUUGCACUUGAUUAGGAAAGCAGAGAAGUUAAAGAAACCUAUUCGAAAUGCUCACACCAACCAUGCACCAAAAGUA